Molecule: ribosomal RNA, 253 nt
Filed under: uncultured bacterium
Lineage: Bacteria
Description: partial 16S ribosomal RNA
Rfam family: Bacterial small subunit ribosomal RNA
Source: RNAcentral
UACGUAGGGUGCAAGCGUUAAUCGGAAUUACUGGGCGUAAAGCGUGCGCAGGCGGUUUUAUAAGACAGAUGUGAAAUCCCCGGGCUCAACCUGGGAACUGCAUUUGUGACUGUAGAGCUGGAGUACGGUAGAGGGGGAUGGAAUUCCGCGUGUAGCAGUGAAAUGCGUAGAUAUGCGGAGGAACACCGAUGGCGAAGGCAAUCCCCUGGACCUGUACUGACGCUCAUGCGCGAAAGCGUGGGGAGCAAACAGG